CGGAGCUUGUAUGCCCAAGUCAUAACCUUGGAGUGCAUUACCAUGAGGCUCGUUGAAGGUGAUCCAGUUCUUAACUCUGUCGCCAAAAGUUUUGAAGCAGGUGAAGGCAUAAUGUUCGAAGUCUUUUCUGUAAGCAAGUGAGCGCUUGUGGAAGAUCCCAGUGAUAUAGAGUUACAAAAGGUUAUUUUCGAAAGCAGUAAGUAAUCAGAAGACAGUGAGAUAGAGAAAACGAAAAUCUGGACAGAAUCAAAUCUUACUUGGAAAAAUUCUCGGCCACGAUACUGAGAAUCUCGCCCUCAAACUACACCACAUACAAGACCCCAUGAAUGGUUAAACUGCUAUUUGACAUGCAAGCUCUGUCGAGAUGUUGAAACAGAAACAAAGGAAUACCUGGUAUGCUGAAGAAGCUGUUCCGAAAACAAACCCGUCGGGGAAAUCAGCUCUGCUAAGAGACUCCGCGUUUGCGAAGAGCCUGGCUAUCAAAACCAGGACGAGGCAUAGUCUCAUGGCGUAGUCUUGAGGUUAGCUUCCAGCUUCAUGGAGGAUUCUGAAUUUAUAGAGGAAGUAGAAUAAUAAGCUAGCUUAAUUUUAAAGUGAAGGAUAUGAUCCCAUUACUCACCAAAUUAAAAUAAAAAAUAAAAAUAAAAAUAAAAAUAAAAAGAUUCAAAAAUAUGUUGGAGGCAGAAUUUGGGCAAAAGGGUUCGAUAUGAGGCAAUUCUCUUGCGCUGGAAGGUGACGUGGGGAGGUUGGCUGUUCUUUGUGUGCACGUUACAAACGAUAAAUUUGGAAAUUCAGGCGCUCCUCAGAGGAAGCAACUUUCAUGUUUGGUAGGUACUUUAAAGGUUUUUGUUUUAAAUAUUUUUGUCACUUAGCAGUCUACCAGUAGUUUUUCUACUUGAAAUUAUAAGAUAUUAGAUUCGAGUUAUUUGCUGGACGACCUUGCUAUCAAAUUAUUAUGACUAUUUAUUA
Pyrus x bretschneideri (Chinese white pear) is the source of this 969-nucleotide long non-coding RNA. RefSeq lists it as uncharacterized. The record is from RefSeq and is a predicted model, not a curated record. The transcript is spliced from 4 exons. NCBI's taxonomy places the organism in Eukaryota, Viridiplantae, Streptophyta, Magnoliopsida, Rosales, Rosaceae.